Molecule: long non-coding RNA, 436 nt
Organism: Numida meleagris (helmeted guineafowl)
Lineage: Eukaryota; Metazoa; Chordata; Aves; Galliformes; Numididae
Exons: 3
Source: RefSeq, a predicted model, not a curated record
GCAGGCUUUCCUGAGGAAUCGCAGGGAGGAAGAGCUAUGGGGACACCUUGCAGGCAAGAUGUGAAAAUGACUUCAGCAGAGCCUCUACUACUUCAGGACACAACUGGGCUGGGCAUGCUUCCAGUGAGCUUCAUCACAGCUUGGCUCACGAGUGGCCCUGCAACCCUACCCCAGCACCAUAAGCAAGUGUCACUGAGUUCAAUCUAAGGAAGUCCCCAGGCUGCUCCUACUCUGAGAAACUGCACUUCUGAAUUUGACUCUGUGAGCUGAAGGUGACAUAAUGUACAGAUCAACGAUAAGUGAAAGAAAUUCAGCAGUAAGAGAAGCUUGGAGAUAAUAAAAAUGGCAGCAAAUAAUCUGGCCCAAAGGAAACAGCAGGCAUUUCACAGGUAUUUAGAGCAGUGUAUUGUCUUCAGUUCUCCCUCACCGUGAUACA